GGCUCAGAGCGAACGUUAGCGGCGGGCCUAACACAUGCAAGUCGAACGCGAAAGGUCUUCGGACUGAGUAGAGUGGCGCACGGGUGAGUAACACGUAGGUAAUCUACCCUUUGGCGGGGGAUAACGUUCCGAGAGGAGCGCUAAUACCGCAUAAGACCACGUGGUCUCCGGACCGAGUGGGAAAAGGUGGCCUCUUCUUGAAAGCUACCACCGAAGGAUGAGCCUGCGUCCCAUCAGCUAGUUGGUAAGGUAAUGGCUUACCAAGGCGAAGACGGGUAGCUGGUUUGAGAGAAUGAUCAGCCACACUGGCACUGGAACACGGGCCAGACUCCUACGGGAGGCAGCAGUGAGGAAUAUUGGGCAAUGGGCGAAAGCCUGACCCAGCCACGCCGCGUGAGUGAUGAAGGCCCUCGGGUCGUAAAGCUCUGUGGAGAGGGACGAAAACCCUGGUUUCAAAUAGGCUCCAGGCUUGACGGUACCUCUUUAGCAAGCACCGGCUAACUCUGUG
RNAcentral lists this ribosomal RNA (508 nucleotides) under uncultured bacterium. RNAcentral's name for it is "bacterial SSU rRNA". It matches the Rfam family "Bacterial small subunit ribosomal RNA", at positions 21 to 507 of the family's 1533-position model. The record is from RNAcentral.